GUUAAAACAUUGGCUCCCGUAUGAUCACUGAAGUUAAGCAACGUCGAGCCUAGGCAGUACCGAGAUAGGUUACAGCUGGGGAAUACCAGGUGCU
Molecule: non-coding RNA, 94 nt
Organism: Acanthosepion pharaonis
Lineage: Eukaryota; Metazoa; Mollusca; Cephalopoda; Sepiida; Sepiidae
Source: the annotation of a GenBank genome assembly